Molecule: transfer RNA, 85 nt
Filed under: Qipengyuania marisflavi
Lineage: Bacteria; Pseudomonadati; Pseudomonadota; Alphaproteobacteria; Sphingomonadales; Erythrobacteraceae
Description: Erythrobacter sp. KEM-5 tRNA-Leu
Rfam family: tRNA
About the family: Transfer RNA (tRNA) molecules are approximately 80 nucleotides in length. Their secondary structure includes four short double-helical elements and three loops (D, anti-codon, and T loops). Further hydrogen bonds mediate the characteristic L-shaped molecular structure. tRNAs have two regions of fundamental functional importance: the anti-codon, which is responsible for specific mRNA codon recognition, and the 3' end, to which the tRNAs corresponding amino acid is attached (by aminoacyl-tRNA synthetases). tRNAs cope with the degeneracy of the genetic code in two manners: having more than one tRNA (with a specific anti-codon) for a particular amino acid; and 'wobble' base-pairing, i.e. permitting non-standard base-pairing at the 3rd anti-codon position.
Source: RNAcentral
GCCCCUGUGGCGGAAUUGGUAGACGCGAACGACUCAAAAUCGUUUUUCUACGGAAGUGCCGGUUCGAGUCCGGCCAGGGGCACCA